Molecule: RNase P RNA, 411 nt
Filed under: Labilithrix sp.
Lineage: Bacteria; Pseudomonadati; Myxococcota; Polyangiales; Labilitrichaceae
Description: RNase P RNA component class A
Rfam family: Bacterial RNase P class A
About the family: Ribonuclease P (RNase P) is a ubiquitous endoribonuclease, found in archaea, bacteria and eukarya as well as chloroplasts and mitochondria.
Source: RNAcentral
CGACGCCGUACAGGCGAUCGCCGGUCCGGAGCCUCACGGCCGAGGACGGGAGGAAAGUCCGAGCUCCACAGAGCGCGAUGCCGGGUAACGCCCGGUGGCGGGAACGCCAAGGAAAGUGCAACAGAGAGAGACCGCCCGGCCUGCUUCGGCACGUCGGGUAAGGGUGAAACGGCGGGGUAAGAGCCCACCGCGUCCACGGUAACGGGGACGGCAGGGCAGACCCCAUCGGGAGCAAGGCCACGUAGGCGGGCAUGCCCGAUCCGCAAGGUGAGGGUGGAGGACGGCUCGUUCGAGCCCGCGGGUAGGCUGCUCGAGGUCGGCAGCAAUGACGACCCUAGAGGAAUGAUACGCCGCCGCGGCGGGGGCGACCCCGCCACGGAACAGAACUCGGCUUACGGACGACGUCGACCA